UCAUAUGCUUGUCCCGAAGCUUAAGCCAUGCAUGUUUGGAACAUCGAGGGCGUGAUGCCCCAGAGAAUCUGCGAACGGCUCCGUAUAUCUGUUAUCACCUCCCGCCCCGAACCCAAUUGAAUCGGAAUAACUACGGUAAUUCUGUGGCUAAUACGUAUAACCAGGGGACGCCCGUACGAGCCCUCAAAAGCUCAGGGCGACCCCGGUCUUGCCGAUCGAACCAGUGGAGGGUAAAACCUCUCGCGUGAGAGCAGGCAAGUGUACCUGGGCCGCUACAGCCGGCCCUGGGCGACGGGCAUCAGACCUAUCAACUAGACGCCCAGGUAAGGCCUGGGCGUGGUGAUAACGGGUACAGAGGACCAGGGUUCGGUCCUGGAGAGGUAGCCUGAGAGAUCGCUACUACUUCUAAGGAAGGCAGCAGGCGCGCAACGUUCCCAAUGGGGUAACCCUGAGGACGUGAAGGGACAUACCGAUGCCCGGCCUAUAAAGCCGGGCAAUCGGAAUGGGGGACUAUUAAACCCCACACCGAGUAACAAUUGGAG
This 542-nucleotide ribosomal RNA is filed under the name Hemitrichia pardina. RNAcentral's name for it is "SSU rRNA". It matches the Rfam family "Eukaryotic small subunit ribosomal RNA", at positions 24 to 553 of the family's 1831-position model. Lineage: Eukaryota; Evosea; Eumycetozoa; Trichiida; Trichiidae. The record is from RNAcentral.